Molecule: ribosomal RNA, 792 nt
Filed under: uncultured bacterium
Lineage: Bacteria
Description: bacterial SSU rRNA
Rfam family: Bacterial small subunit ribosomal RNA
Source: RNAcentral
AGAGUUUGAUCCUGGCUCAGGAUGAACGCUAGCGGCAGGCUUAAUACAUGCAAGUCGUGGGGCAGCACAGGUAGCAAUACUGGGUGGCGACCGGCAAACGGGUGCGGAACACGUACGCAACCUUCCUUUAACUGGAGAAUAGCCCGGGGAAACCCGGAUUAAUACUCCGUAACAUUAUGAAGUGGCAUCACUUUAUAAUUAUAGCUCCGGCGGUUGAAGAUGGGCGUGCGUCUGAUUAGGUAGUUGGCGGGGUAACGGCCCACCAAGCCUACGAUCAGUAACUGGUGUGAGAGCACGACCAGUCACACGGGCACUGAGACACGGGCCCGACUCCUACGGGAGGCAGCAGUAAGGAAUAUUGGUCAAUGGACGCAAGUCUGAACCAGCCAUGCCGCGUGGAGGAUGAAGGUCCUCUGGAUUGUAAACUUCUUUUAUUUGGGAAGAAACCACCGAUUUCUAUUGGUGUUGACGGUACCAGAUGAAUAAGCACCGGCUAACUCCGUGCCAGCAGCCGCGGUAAUACGGAGGGUGCAAGCGUUAUCCGGAUUCACUGGGUUUAAAGGGUGCGUAGGCGGGUUGGUAAGUCCGUGGUGAAAUCUCCAAGCUUAACUUGGAAACUGCCGUGGAUACUAUCAAUCUUGAAUAUAGUGGAGGUGAGCGGAAUAUGUCAUGUAGCGGUGAAAUGCUUAGAUAUGACAUAGAACACCCAUUGCGAAGGCAGCUCGCUACACUAUUAUUGACGCUGAGGCACGAAAGCGUGGGGAUCAGACAGAUUAGAUACCCUAGUAGUCC